UUGGGGAUUUGAACCACCCAAUUUCAGCCACCAUGAGUGAUGUUACGUGUUGUCUUUGUUUCCCGAUCAGCUCAACUCAGACCUUUGCAAGCUUGCUGUGAACCUCAUUCCAUUCUCUCGGCUUCAUUUUUUAAUGCUUGGUUUUGCACCUCUCAUGUCUCGAGGUUCCCAGUAAUAUCGUGCCGUCACUGUAGCAGAACUCACCCAACGAUUGUGGGA
Molecule: unclassified non-coding RNA, 219 nt
Filed under: Hevea brasiliensis (rubber tree)
Lineage: Eukaryota; Viridiplantae; Streptophyta; Magnoliopsida; Malpighiales; Euphorbiaceae
Source: RNAcentral